This 368-nucleotide ribosomal RNA is filed under the name Protopterus dolloi (slender lungfish). RNAcentral describes it as "eukaryotic LSU rRNA". It matches the Rfam family "Eukaryotic large subunit ribosomal RNA", at positions 1 to 353 of the family's 3401-position model. Lineage: Eukaryota; Metazoa; Chordata; Ceratodontiformes; Protopteridae. The record is from RNAcentral.
UUGAUCCGACCUCAGAUCAGACGUGGCGACCCGCCAAUUUAAGCAUAUUACUAAGCGGAGGAAAAGAAACUAACCGGAUUCCCUCAGUAACGGCGAGUGAAGAGGGAAGAGCCCAGCGCCGAAUCCCCGCCCGGGCGACGGGCGCAGGGAAAUGUGGCGUACGGAAGUCCGUCUCCCCGGCGCCGCCAGGGGGCCCAAGUCCUUGUGAUCGAGGCUCAGCCCGCGGACGGUGUGAGGCCGGUGGCGGCCCCCGGCGCGUCGGAUCAGGUCUUCCCGGAGUCGGGUUGUUUGUGAAUGCAGCCCAAAGCGGGUGGUAAACUCCAUCUAAGGCUAAACACCGGCACGAGACCGAUAGCGGACAAGUACCG